CCUACGGGGCGCAGCAGUGAGGAAUAUUGGUCAAUGGCCGCAGGGCUGAACCAGCCAAGUCGCGUGAGGGAUGACGGUCCUAUGGAUUGUAAACCUCUUUUGUCAGGGAGCAAAGGGCGCCACGUGUGGCGCUUUGCGAGUACCUGAAGAAAAAGCAUCGGCUAACUCCGUGCCAGCAGCCGCGGUAAUACGGAGGAUGCGAGCGUUAUCCGGAUUUAUUGGGUUUAAAGGGAGCGUAGGCCGCAUGUCAAGCGUGCUGUGAAAUGUCCGGGCUCAACCCGGGCCUUGCAGC
RNAcentral lists this ribosomal RNA (292 nucleotides) under uncultured bacterium. RNAcentral's name for it is "partial 16S ribosomal RNA". It matches the Rfam family "Bacterial small subunit ribosomal RNA", at positions 338 to 627 of the family's 1533-position model. The record is from RNAcentral.